RNAcentral lists this long non-coding RNA (938 nucleotides) under Phoenix dactylifera (date palm). Its description in RNAcentral is "long non-coding RNA (PDAC_LNC007091)". Lineage: Eukaryota; Viridiplantae; Streptophyta; Magnoliopsida; Arecales; Arecaceae. The record is from RNAcentral.
UCCAAGAUCAUCCCCUGUUAUGCGUAUCUGCUAAACGUCCCACGAUGAAUCCAUCGUCCGCAGAUCAAGCAACUAGCCGUGAACAUCAACCGCGGAUUGGAUUAAGCCAAGUUUCACGGCAUUCCUCCCAUCCGGAUAGACUUCAUCGCCCAUGAAAUCCAACCCGUCCCAGCCCCCCUGUUCCGGAUCAACCUCAUCCAGCUUUCUCCCGCGAUACAUGCCAAGCAAACAAUCUUCUAAACCAUGUCACCUUCUUCCCAGAUUUUUUUCUUAGCCGUGGGCAAUAUUCUAACUUCUGGAUGAACUCCACCAUCUGCGAUUCAUCUUCAUAUCCCAGAUUUCUUCACAGCUCCCAGCCGAAUCUAGCAUCCUCAUCCUCUUCCCAUCGUCAUCUUCAACCGUGAACAGCAUCCCCUGCUCCCAGCUCAUCUUAUCUUCAUCCUCAUGCGAUUCAUCAUCCCCUAUUUCCAGCCAGUAAGCAUCCGAAUCAUCUGCGAUUUGGCUUCAUCUUCCCGAGCUUCACGGCGUUCAAAUGCAUCUUUCCCUGCUUUGAAACAGACCGUAUACAUCAUCCCCGUGUCCAGCUGCUCAACUCCAAGCAUCUCCCUGCAUCCACGUCAACAAUCUCCGCAUAGGCCUCUUCCAGAUCAUGCCCAGUGUCCGCAAGAAUCCAGAAGCUCGACUCCUUCAUUCCCUGGAUUGACAUCAACGGGAUAAGCUACAACACCACAAACACCCAGCCUUCUGCAACGAAUCCGCAGCCUUCAACGUCCGCAGCCAAGCUUCUUCAUAUCAAGAUCCGAACCACAGCAGCUCACGAAUCCCUGCAUGCAGCCAACGACUUCGAUCCAUCCUUAUCUUGAAGUGAAAUAGGAAAAGAAGAGAGAAGUUGCAGCCUAUAAAAGGACCAGACGUGAAACAGGGGAGGGCACUUCACU